Molecule: long non-coding RNA, 636 nt
Organism: Asparagus officinalis (garden asparagus)
Lineage: Eukaryota; Viridiplantae; Streptophyta; Magnoliopsida; Asparagales; Asparagaceae
Exons: 3
Source: RefSeq, a predicted model, not a curated record
ACAAAAGGCUUCCGCAGCCUCAAUAGUCAAUAGCCAUAUCCAGUUCAACCGCGGUUCACCAAUCCCUAUAAGGCAUUUCUUCAAACACCUUGGCACUCGCAAACUCAUCUCCAGCUUCCCCAAAAUCCACCGUGCUUUUCUCGAUAAAACCCUACAGCCCAAUCUCGACGAUCUUCGCUGUGACGAGCCCUUUCUCCGUACUAGCAACAAUGUUUAUGCGAUGGAGGACAAGGAUUCUCGAUUUGUGAUAACACUCUUACAGCGAUAAUUUUAUAUUCAAGACUGCUGUUUUGCGAUUCACUUUCGAUUUUGUGCGUAUAGCAUUCAAGAUUGUGGAAUUCUGAGGAUCUCAACACUCAACUUGAGGUGAAUAAUGGGAAUAAUUACUAAUUAACUAGGCUACAAUCACUCGUUACAUGAUCAAUCAGCAUACUAGCCUUUUCAAUCAACGGAUGCAACGUUAUGAUGAAGUUCCUUUUCUAACGCAUUUCUUGGCUUGCUCUUGGUUCUAAUGACUUAGAACUCAUCCAAGUAGAAGAAAGAACGAUACCUAAAUCUUCAAGCACUGACAUGAGCUAUCAAAUAUAUCCAUCCAAGACAAUUGUGUACAUCAAUAGAUUCUCUGAUUUUGUGUAA